RNAcentral lists this long non-coding RNA (692 nucleotides) under Marmota monax (woodchuck). The record is from RNAcentral. Lineage: Eukaryota; Metazoa; Chordata; Mammalia; Rodentia; Sciuridae.
GGUGCCUCCUCUCAAUGUUGGUGGUCAGGGCUGAUGCAGUCUGAUGGCUCUGCUUUCCUCUACUCAGGGCCAAAGCUGUUUUGCUGAUCUGUCACUGUCUGGAUCCCAUGGAAGCUGCACAGAGCAUUUCCCCUCUGCCUAGAUGACAGGGAGGCUGAGCAGAGCACUGAGUUAGGGGCACUUCCCCACACAGGUCUGUACCUGAACAUCCUUGUUCAUAGUGAGAAGGAGUGGAAGGGGUUUUAGCAUUUGGGGCUAGUAGCGAUUCCUCUAGAACUUCUUUCUAGAUGGAUUUUUUAAGAGGUCUCGAUGCAGAGGACUUUUCUCUGAUUGAAUUUGCAGCUAUCUGGGCAUAGGAAGAUGCUGUGUUGACUUAGGGGAGUGAUUGGUCAGCUGAGGGCUCCAUGAGAUAGCUACAGACUCCCUGGGUCAGCUUUCCUUUCACAAUUUGGUUUUAUAGUGUUUGAUCUGCUUUAAGAACAUUGCUAUUUUCCUCAUCCUUCAAAUUUUAUCUGCCUUUCCAAAUAUUUUUAAAUGGGUGAGCUUAAGAGCUUUCCCAUUCAUUCUCUUUCUUUCUGUGUUGCCCACACCCUACCCCCACUCCCACAGCCUCUUACCCCACUCUGGUUCAGGUUGGAGGUUAGGGAACUCUGUACUUAUUUUCUGCUCUGGCAACCGAUCUUCAAAUCUCU